UCCUAUUGAGAGACAAGCCUGUGGUGAUCC
This 30-nucleotide non-coding RNA is filed under the name Mus musculus (house mouse). Lineage: Eukaryota; Metazoa; Chordata; Mammalia; Rodentia; Muridae. The record is from RNAcentral.